UGAUCCUGGCUCAGGGUGAAUGUUGGCGGCGUGCCUAAGGUAUGCAAGUCGAACGAUUCUUUGGUCUUUUUUACUUCGGUUUAACUGACCUUCUGAAUAGUGGCAAACGGGUGAGUAACAUGUAGAUAAUCUGCCUUGAAGUUGGGAAUAGCUCGUCGAAAGAUGAGAUAAUACCCAAUAGUCUGUAUUAGCUUCGGCUUUAUACAGUAAAGCUCCGGCGCUUCAAGAGGAGUCUGCAUUCUAUCAGCUUGUUGGUGGGGUAAUGGCCUACCAAGGCUAAGACGGAUAGCUGGCGUGAGAGCGUGACCAGCCACAAUGGGACUGAGACACGGCCCAUACUCCUACGGGAGGCAGCAAUUAGGAAUCUUGCACAAUGGGGGCAACCCUGAUGCAGCGACGCCGCGUGGAGGACGAAGGUUUUCGGAUCGUAAACUCCUUUUAUAUGGGAAGAAUAAAUGACGGUACCAUAUGAAUAAGUGCCUGCUAACUACGUGCCAGAAGCAUCGGUGAUGCGUAGGGCACAAACAUUACCCGGAAUUAUUGGGCGUAAAGAGAUGCGUAGGCGUUUUUGUAAGUCUAGUGUUAAAUCCCUCUGCUUAACAGAGGACCUGCACUGGAAACUACAAGAAUUGAGAAAGAGAAGGGUGAGUGGAAUUCUCGGUGUAGCAGUGAAAUGCGUUGAUAUCGAGAGGAACACCAGAGGCGAAGGCGACUCACUAGCUCUUUUCUGACGCUGAGGCUCGAAAGCGUG
Molecule: ribosomal RNA, 751 nt
Filed under: uncultured bacterium
Lineage: Bacteria
Description: bacterial SSU rRNA
Rfam family: Bacterial small subunit ribosomal RNA
Source: RNAcentral